ACGUAUAGCUCAGUUGGUUAGAGUACAUCGUUGACAUCGAUGGGGUCACUGGUUCGAAUCCAGUUACGUCCAUACCA
RNAcentral lists this transfer RNA (77 nucleotides) under Picosynechococcus sp. PCC 7003. RNAcentral describes it as "Synechococcus sp. PCC 7003 tRNA-Val". It matches the Rfam family "tRNA". Rfam says of the family: Transfer RNA (tRNA) molecules are approximately 80 nucleotides in length. Lineage: Bacteria; Bacillati; Cyanobacteriota; Cyanophyceae; Chroococcales; Geminocystaceae. The record is from RNAcentral.